Molecule: long non-coding RNA, 1370 nt
Organism: Apis cerana (Asiatic honeybee)
Lineage: Eukaryota; Metazoa; Arthropoda; Insecta; Hymenoptera; Apidae
Source: RefSeq, a predicted model, not a curated record
UCACUGUGUUGAGGAAUCGAACGCCACGAUAAGAAAUCGCCAAAGUGAUGUCAGGGAUGACUCUAGGUUCGCGGCAAGUUUUCUUCAGUUUUUGUAUCGAUUUCUUUGUUGACUCAGUACCGCGUAACUCCUUUACCACGGUGGAACCUAGAUACUACGCGAUUUUUGAACAGAAAAAAAACCGUACCUCUAGAAUCUACAAGAAUCAUGUAUCAAAGAAACAAACGAUUAUCAAGUUGAACAGUAUGAUCUUCCAAAUGAAGAAAGCGUUAAAUGCUCGUUUAUUGCGCUAGAGGUUACACCAAAGAAGAUAAUAUUCUGAAUGAAAUGUGUUAUUAGCUACACCCACGCUAUAAUUAUGAAUUUUAUUAAAAGAAGCACAGAAAGAAGUAUAAAACAUGGAGUAAAGCUUCGAUUUCUUCAAUUACACUCUUUCUGAAAAUAUAAGAAGUUACCAACAGUUAAAAACUAUCAAGAAUUCGGCCAUUUCAUCUACAACGACCUAUGUAAAUUAUCCUUAAUAACCAAUAACAGAACCCAUCCACUACGCUAAAGCACUAAAAAGAUUUGGCUGUCUGGAAGGAACAGUUCAGUUCAAGGAAGAGACGGCAAAAGGCAUGUAAAAUAGUAAGAAGCAAGAAAAGAGAUAGAAGAGAUGAAAGAACGGAAGCAAUUAGACUUACGUUGGCGACGUACGUGACGCAGCCGGUGACUAGAGCUUUUGGCUGGUGCCUCCAUUGCGUCUUGAGGGUGGACGGGACACCGAGCAGCAACUCUGAUGGUGCCCUGAUCUCGAGUUGUUCCGGUGCCGAGAUCGCCCCAUUAUGCGAACUGGGUCGUUGGGGUGGCUGCGGAGCCGGCCUGUUUUUGCGAUGCCUUAAUGUGCUCGUGCCGGUCGAAUUCGUUCCGGUUAUCGACGUACCGCCAUUACCCUCCGUCGUUGUUUCCGGCAGCUUCUCCCGUAUCUCCUCCUUCAGCUGCUGUAUAUUCGACUUCUGCGGAAACGAGGUGCCGUCGAAUUUUUGAGUAAUUUGAGAGAGCCUUGUCGUAGAGAUUUUACAAAAAAAAAAAAAAAUACACGUAGCUUCUUCUGAUUUUUUUCUUUGUAUUAAAUGUUUGUAAUGGUAAAAUGUGUAUACAUAUGAUUGUAGAUAUGAGAAUAUUUCUAAUUUUCAAUUAUCAAGGAAAUUUGAAAAGUUUAAAGUAUAAAAUAAAUUAUCUUUCUUAACGUUUAAAAUUAUAUUCAAGAAGUCAUCUUGAGUUCAUGUUCCUUAAAAAUAUAUCAGAUUACCAUUUAUCAAAAUGUUAUAUAUAAAACAGAAUUUGUCUAUCAGAAGAUUGUCUAUCUAUUAAAAUUAUAAAAUUAAUUA